RNAcentral lists this transfer RNA (90 nucleotides) under Asparagopsis taxiformis. Its description in RNAcentral is "tRNA-Leu". It matches the Rfam family "tRNA". Rfam says of the family: Transfer RNA (tRNA) molecules are approximately 80 nucleotides in length. Their secondary structure includes four short double-helical elements and three loops (D, anti-codon, and T loops). Further hydrogen bonds mediate the characteristic L-shaped molecular structure. tRNAs have two regions of fundamental functional importance: the anti-codon, which is responsible for specific mRNA codon recognition, and the 3' end, to which the tRNAs corresponding amino acid is attached (by aminoacyl-tRNA synthetases). tRNAs cope with the degeneracy of the genetic code in two manners: having more than one tRNA (with a specific anti-codon) for a particular amino acid; and 'wobble' base-pairing, i.e. permitting non-standard base-pairing at the 3rd anti-codon position. The record is from RNAcentral. Lineage: Eukaryota; Rhodophyta; Florideophyceae; Bonnemaisoniales; Bonnemaisoniaceae.
GCGGUUAUGGUGAAAUUGGUAGACACAUUAAGUUUAGGUUUUAACGGUAUUUUUUAUAAAAUCAUGAGGGUUCAAGUCCCUCUUUCCGCA